This 378-nucleotide unclassified non-coding RNA is filed under the name plant metagenome. RNAcentral describes it as "partial contains 5.8S ribosomal RNA, internal transcribed spacer 2, and large subunit ribosomal RNA". The stretch from base 1 to 105 matches the Rfam family "5.8S ribosomal RNA", at positions 50 to 154 of the family's 154-position model. The record is from RNAcentral.
GAAAUGCGAUAACUAGUGUGAAUUGCAGAAUUCAGUGAAUCAUCGAGUCUUUGAACGCAUAUUGCGCCCGUCGGUAUUCCGGCGGGCAUGCCUGUUUGAGUAUCAUGAAAUCUUCAAAGUAAAUCUUUUGUUAACUCAAUUGGUUUCUACUUUGGUAUUGGAGGUCUUUGCAGCUUCACACCUGCUCCUCUUUGUUCAUUAGCUGGAUCUCAGUGUUAUGCUUGGUUCCACUCGGCGUGAUAAGUUAUCUAUCGCUGAGGACACUGUAAAAGGUGGCCAAGGUAAAUGCAGAUGAACCGCUUCUAAUAGUCCAUUGACUUGGACAAUACUUUUAUGAUCUGAUCUCAAAUCAGGUAGGACUACCCGCUGAACUUAAGC